GACGAACGCUGGCGGCGUGCUUAACACAUGCAAGUCGAACGGAAAGGCCCUGCUUUUGUGGGGUGCUCGAGUGGCGAACGGGUGAGUAACACGUGAGUAACCUGCCCUUGACUUUGGGAUAACUUCAGGAAACUGGGGCUAAUACCGGAUAGUAGCUCCUGCUGCAUGGUGGGGGUUGGAAAGUUUCGGCGGUUGGGUAUGGACUCGCGGCUUAUCAGCUUGUUGGUGGGGUAGUGGCUUACCAAGGCUUUGACGGGUAGCCGGCCUGAGAGGGUGACCGGCCACAUUGGGACUGAGAUACGGCCCAGACUCCUACGGGAGGCAGCAGUGGGGAAUAUUGCACAAUGGGCGGAAGCCUGAUGCAGCAACGCCGCGUGCGGGAUGACGGCCUUCGGGUUGUAAACCGCUUUCGCCUGUGACGAAGCGUGAGUGACGGUAAUGGGUAAAGAAGCACCGGCUAACUACGUG
This 468-nucleotide ribosomal RNA is filed under the name uncultured bacterium. Its description in RNAcentral is "partial 16S ribosomal RNA". It matches the Rfam family "Bacterial small subunit ribosomal RNA", at positions 28 to 507 of the family's 1533-position model. The record is from RNAcentral.